AUACGGAGGGUCCAAGCGUUAUCCGGAUUCAUUGGGUUUAAAGGGUCCGCAGGCGGGGAAAUAAGUCAGUGGUGAAAGCCUACAGCUCAACUGUGGAACUGCCAUUGAUACUGUUUUUCUUGAGUAUAGAUGAAGUGGGCGGAAUAUAUCAUGUAGCGGUGAAAUGCAUAGAUAUGAUAUAGAACACCGAUUGCGAAGGCAGCUCACUAAACUAUUACUGACGCUCAGGGACGAAAGCGUGGGGAGCGAACAGGAUUAGAAACCCCAGUAGUCC
This 274-nucleotide ribosomal RNA is filed under the name uncultured bacterium. RNAcentral's name for it is "partial 16S ribosomal RNA". It matches the Rfam family "Bacterial small subunit ribosomal RNA", at positions 523 to 796 of the family's 1533-position model. The record is from RNAcentral.